GUUCACUACAUUCGAGCAUGCGUCCCAGUGGUUGGGGACAGUUAGUGGGUAUCCCGUGGAGGGAUAAGUCUUUUGGGUAAAAACGGGUAUAUUGGUUAAUAAUCUCACCUAUCAUUCUUGUAAGUCCCUUAUUAUGUUACCUGGAGGGUAACGGGUAUUAGUUGGUAGCGCUACUUAGGUUUGGCACCCUCACACCGCUCCUAGAGAGGACGGAUGUGAACUAAUGACCCAGUCGGGCCCAGUACUAGAUAGGAGUACGUGGGAAGGGUCUCCGUGAGCCGUCCGUGUUUGGAA
Molecule: long non-coding RNA, 294 nt
Filed under: Helianthus annuus (common sunflower)
Lineage: Eukaryota; Viridiplantae; Streptophyta; Magnoliopsida; Asterales; Asteraceae
Description: hypothetical non coding rna
Source: RNAcentral